Molecule: small nuclear RNA, 106 nt
Organism: Vombatus ursinus (common wombat)
Lineage: Eukaryota; Metazoa; Chordata; Mammalia; Diprotodontia; Vombatidae
Source: Ensembl
GUACUUGCUUUAGCAACACAUAUACCUAAAUUGGAACUAUACAAAGAAGAUUAGCAUAACCACUGCACAAAGAUGACAUGAAGUUUGUCAAGUGUUCCAUGCUUUU